This 62-nucleotide transfer RNA is filed under the name Calcaritermes cf. nigriceps. RNAcentral's name for it is "tRNA-His". Lineage: Eukaryota; Metazoa; Arthropoda; Insecta; Blattodea; Kalotermitidae. The record is from RNAcentral.
GCUUGGGUAGUUUAAUUAAAAUGUUGAUUUGUGACGUCAAUGAUGUGGUGUCACCUCAGGUC